AUACUUAUCUGGCAGAGGAGAUACCAUGAUCACAAAGGUGGUUUUCCCAGAGCGAGGCUUAUUCAUUGCAUGUGGGAUGUGUUGAUCCCUGGGUUUCCCCAGAUGUGGGAAACUCAACUGCAUAAUAUGUGGUAAUGGGAGACCACGUUUGCACUCUACCCUG
This is a non-coding RNA of Myotis davidii, 163 nucleotides long. Lineage: Eukaryota; Metazoa; Chordata; Mammalia; Chiroptera; Vespertilionidae. The record is from Rfam.